CCCGCGCGAUGGGGCGGACCACUAAUGCCAGUGGCACUAGCUCCGGCCGGAGGCGCGGGCGAUCCGAGGAGGAAGAAGCUGGCGCUAGCGGCGCUGGCGGCGACUGGGAUCAUCCGGCGGCGGCGCUCCAUCGCCAGCAAUCCAUGCUCGUGGAUGGUAAGCGCCACAGCUUGUCCGUGCCGAUUUGCAAGGAUUUCGGGCGGGGACGGUGCUCCAGGCCCGUGCACGACUGUCGCUAUGCUCAUCCUCCUCCCACCGUGGCCGUGGAAGGCGAUCAGGUGACCAUUUGCUACGACUCUCUUCGAGACAGAUGCGCUCGUGGGAUUUCGUGCCGCUACUUCCAUCCGCCGCAUCACAUUCGCGUUGCCACACAAGAAGCCGUCGGCAUUGAUCCAUCGCCGCUGGGGCUCGAGCUGCGAGCAUCCAAUUUGCUGCUUGGCCCUUCCCCGACAUCUCUUAUCACGAUCUCGAGGCCUUCGAUCGAGGUUUGUAGGGACUUUGUUCGUGGGCGAUGCAAGCGUGAAUCGGACGAAUGUCGUUUCGCUCAUCACGUCCCAGCAGCCGGAGAUGGCGAUUAUGCUAUAGUCUGCCAGGAUUUUAUGCGCGGAAGAUGCGAACGAGAGACUUGCCGCUACUUCCAUCCCCUGGAUCAUCUAAGAUCUCGUGUGAAAGAUAUUGGAGGUGCUCCUGCUGCCGUGUCAAAUCCUCCUCGAUACGAUUUACCAGGUGUCUACUGUUCUUAUCCAGGAUACGAGAACCAGGCGAAGCGAAUGAGGCUGGAUGAAGCGCUUCUCGACCGGCACCACAAGAGCUCAAACCUUCUUAUGGAAGCCGCUGGCCAAUCUCUCCCUGUGUUUAGGCCGUGCUCACCUCCACGGAAUGAUCAAGACAGGCUCCCGGCGUGCCGAGAUUUCUUGCGUAACAAAUGUGCCAGAAGCUCGUCCUGUCGAUUCGUCCACCCAGCUCCCUACACGCAGGUGGUCGACGGCUAUGUAACUCUGUGCCGUGAUUCUCUCCGAGGCAAAUGUUUAAGGGAAGCAUGCCGCUUCCACCAUCCGACGCAAUCGACUUUCCAGCAACGCGAUAACUUCGAGAGUUCCAACACGGAUAACUUCUAUGGGAGCCGAGCGGCAGUAGUAGCAGCUCCGGACUCGUUUGGGGGCCUCUCUCCAAACGAGGACGAUGACAAUCCAGGCGAUCAAGUUGGAGAUGACUAGAGCUGCCGGACUGCUCCUGCUCGCUUCCUUUCGGUCAGAUGCAAAAAAUGCCACUGACUCUACCGCGCUGCGCUAGAUACUGUAAGUUUGCAAGGUCAUCUCUUUACGAAGCUCAACCUCACGCAAGCAGAGACGAUGUUGUUGUAUAUGCGGCGAGCCAGGAGCUUGGCCAUGAAAGAUGUUUCACUCUGUUCUUGAGAAGGUCGAGUCCUCCAUCCGAAUUGCCGUGUCUAUAGCAUGAGCACAACAAUUAUAGUCCCCGCUCCAAAAUAGGUGCCUUGAAACAACUUGAUAAACAGACUAGAAAAUACCUGCAUUGAUCUA
RNA transcript from Selaginella moellendorffii, 1541 nucleotides. It is a transcript of the gene named muscleblind-like protein 3, with no coding region annotated. Lineage: Eukaryota; Viridiplantae; Streptophyta; Lycopodiopsida; Selaginellales; Selaginellaceae. The record is from RefSeq and is a predicted model, not a curated record. The transcript has 13 exons.